This 87-nucleotide transfer RNA is filed under the name bacterium. RNAcentral's name for it is "tRNA-Leu". It matches the Rfam family "tRNA". Rfam says of the family: Transfer RNA (tRNA) molecules are approximately 80 nucleotides in length. Their secondary structure includes four short double-helical elements and three loops (D, anti-codon, and T loops). The record is from RNAcentral.
GCCGAAGUGGUGGAACUGGUAGACACGCCGUCUUGAGGGGGCGGUGAGCGUAUGCUCGUGCGAGUUCGAUUCUCGCCUUCGGCACCA